AAAGAAGCUUGCUUCUUUGCCGGCGAGCGGCGGACGGGUGAGUAAUGUCUGGGGAUCUGCCCGAUGGAGGGGGAUAACUACUGGAAACGGUAGCUAAUACCGCAUAACGUCGCAAGACCAAAGUGGGGGACCUUCGGGCCUCACACCAUCGGAUGAACCCAGAUGGGAUUAGCUAGUAGGUGGGGUAAUGGCUCACCUAGGCGACGAUCCCUAGCUGGUCUGAGAGGAUGACCAGCCACACUGGAACUGAGACACGGUCCAGACUCCUACGGGAGGCAGCAGUGGGGAAUAUUGCACAAUGGGGGAAACCCUGAUGCAGCCAUGCCGCGUGUGUGAAGAAGGCCUUCGGGUUGUAAAGCACUUUCAGCGGGGAAGAAGGCGUUAGCGUUAACAGCGCUAUCGAUUGACGUUACCUGCAGAAGAAGCACCGGCUAACUCCGUGCCAGCAGCCGCGGUAAUACGGAGGGUGCAAGCGUUAAUCGGAAUUACUGGGCGUAAAGCGUACGCAGGCGGUCUGUUAAGUCAGAUGUGAAAUCCCCGGGCUUAACCUGGGAACUGCAUUUGAAACUGGCAGGCUAGAGUCUCGUAGAGGGGGGUAGAAUUCCAGGUGUAGCGGUGAAAUGCGUAGAGAUCUGGAGGAAUACCGGUGGCGAAGGCGGCCCCCUGGACGAAGACUGACGCUCAGGUACGAAAGCGUGGGGAGCAAACAGGAUUAGAUACCCUGGUAGUCCACGCUGUAAACGAUGUCGAUUUGAAGGUUGUGGCCUUGAGCUGUGGCUUUCGGAGCUAACGCGUUAAAUCGACCGCCUGGGGAGUACGGCCGCAAGGUUAAAACUCAAAUGAAUUGACGGGGGCCCGCACAAGCGGUGGAGCAUGUGGUUUAAUUCGAUGCAACGCGAAGAACCUUACCUACUCUUGACAUCCAGAGAACUUGGCAGAGAUGCCUUGGUGCCUUCGGGAGCUCUGAGACAGGUGCUGCAUGGCUGUCGUCAGCUCGUGUUGUGAAAUGUUGGGUUAAGUCCCGCAACGAGCGCAACCCUUAUCCUUUGUUGCCAGCGAUUUGGUCGGGAACUCAAAGGAGACUGCCGGUGAUAAACCGGAGGA
This 1104-nucleotide ribosomal RNA is filed under the name Glossina austeni S-endosymbiont. RNAcentral describes it as "bacterial SSU rRNA". It matches the Rfam family "Bacterial small subunit ribosomal RNA", at positions 72 to 1170 of the family's 1533-position model. Lineage: Bacteria; Pseudomonadati; Pseudomonadota; Gammaproteobacteria; Enterobacterales; Bruguierivoracaceae. The record is from RNAcentral.